Molecule: ribosomal RNA, 259 nt
Filed under: uncultured prokaryote
Description: partial 16S ribosomal RNA
Rfam family: Bacterial small subunit ribosomal RNA
Source: RNAcentral
UACGUAGGGUGCGAGCGUUGUCCGGAAUUACUGGGCGUAAAGAGCUCGUAGGCGGUUUGUCGCGUCGUCUGUGAAAUCCCGCAGCUCAACUGCGGGCUUGCAGGCGAUACGGGCAGACUCGAGUACUGCAGGGGAGACUGGAAUUCCUGGUGUAGCGGUGAAAUGCGCAGAUAUCAGGAGGAACACCGGUGGCGAAGGCGGGUCUCUGGGCAGUAACUGACGCUGAGGAGCGAAAGCGUGGGUAGCGAACAGGAUUAGA